This 277-nucleotide ribosomal RNA is filed under the name uncultured bacterium. RNAcentral's name for it is "partial 16S ribosomal RNA". It matches the Rfam family "Bacterial small subunit ribosomal RNA", at positions 1105 to 1382 of the family's 1533-position model. The record is from RNAcentral.
CUAUCAUCAGUUGCCAACAGGUAAAGCUGGGAACUCUGGUGAAACUGCCGCCGUAAGGUGAGGAAGGAGGGGAUGAUGUCAAGUCAUCAUGGCCUUUAUGCCCAGGGCUACACACGUGCUACAAUGGGGAGUACAAAGGGUUGCUACCUGGUGACAGGAUGCUAAUCUCAAAAAACUUCUCUCAGUUCAGAUUGCAGGCUGCAACUCGCCUGCAUGAAGCUGGAAUCGCUAGUAAUCGUAGAUCAGCAAUGCUACGGUGAAUACGUUCCCGGACCUU